RNAcentral lists this ribosomal RNA (460 nucleotides) under uncultured bacterium. Its description in RNAcentral is "partial 16S ribosomal RNA". It matches the Rfam family "Bacterial small subunit ribosomal RNA", at positions 338 to 795 of the family's 1533-position model. The record is from RNAcentral.
CCUACGGGAGGCAGCAGUGAGGAAUAUUGGUCAAUGGCCGGAAGGCUGAACCAGCCAUGCCGCGUGAAGGUCAGUGCCCUAUGGGCGUUAAACUUCUUUUGUGCGGGAGCAAUAAUGGUCACGUGUGGCCAGACGAGAGUACCGUACGAAUAAGCAUCGGCUAACUCCGUGCCAGCAGCCGCGGUAAUACGGGGGAUGCAAGCGUUAUCCGGAUUUAUUGGGGUUAAAGGGUGCGGAGGCUGUGAGGUAAGUCAGCGGUGAAAUGCCCCCGCUCAACGGGGUGAAGUGCCAUUGAUACUGCCUUGCUGGAAUGCGGAUGCCGUGGGAGGAAUGUGUGGUGUAGCGGUGAAAUGCAUAGAUAUCACACAGAACACCGAUUGCGAAGGCAUCUCACGAAUCCGCGAUUGACGCUGAUGCACGAAAGCGUGGGUAUCAAACAGGAUUAGAUACCCCAGUAGUC